Long non-coding RNA from Gallus gallus (chicken), 875 nucleotides. Lineage: Eukaryota; Metazoa; Chordata; Aves; Galliformes; Phasianidae. The record is from Ensembl.
AACAUCUUAUCUGUGUCCAAGAAGAGUUAAUUUAAACUUCCAAAUGACUAAGCAUACUCCAGUGUGUAGGUGUUUCUUUGAGAAGUGCUGUGAGGAUUAUGUUCCCAAGCAGCAAUACCAAUUCCAUUAAUAGGCUUCCUCUCUUGGGGAAGGAAUACUUCCAGCACUUGUUUUCUGCUGCUAGGCACAGUGUGUAUGGCAAUCACUUGGUCACUCGCCAGUUGCUGGAUGCACAGUUCACAGUGACUGGAGCCCAGUGACACAGCUAGGAAGUUGUUCUUUCUUGAUUUGGUUUCUGCUUCCUCUGGAGAAACUGCUUCAAUAUCAAGUGGAGACUUAGUGCUGGCAAUGUGCAGUAUGAGCCCUGGACUGUAUAGUGUUUUCAGGCAUCCGCUUGGUCCUCUCCCUGCAUGUCUAUCUGGAGUAGAAAUUAUUCACCAGACAGUCCUGUCCAGCUGCCCCAGGUAUCAUACUGCAGUCAGCCCUGGUUUCCCAGCCAUGGUGGCUGGUUUUACUGAAUGGUGUUGACUCGUGAACUUUGCAGACUUUUGAGAACAGGAGGAGAUAAUAUCUGGACUUGGCUAAUCCCUUCAGGGCUGUCUCCUCCUGCUUGCAUGCUGCCUGGAGAAGAGGUGUCUGUCUCUGUCCUUCAGGUUCUAACUGCCAUCUCAGGAAAAGCUGAGUUUUCUAAUGAUGAUCUCAGGGAUGUUAUAUAUUACAGUCUUAGCCAGAUAGUUAAACAAAUACAUGACACUUUUACUUACAGUGCAGAUGUUUUCAGGAGAAAAGUGCCCAUUUUUCCAAAGUCUUUCAUGAUGUAACUGCUUUCUCUAAUGCAAAUACAUAGAUUUCUUACACCAAUAAAAGGGCUUUUC